UAGGGAAUCUUCCACAAAUGGACGAAAGUACUGAUGGAGCAACGCCGCGUGAGUGAAGAAGGGUUUCGGCUCGUAAAACUCUGUUGUUAAAGAAGAACAUAUCUGAGAGUAACUGUUCAGGUAUUGACGGUAUUUAACCAGAAAGCCACGGCUAACUACGUGCCAC
This 166-nucleotide ribosomal RNA is filed under the name uncultured bacterium. RNAcentral's name for it is "partial 16S rRNA". It matches the Rfam family "Bacterial small subunit ribosomal RNA", at positions 355 to 511 of the family's 1533-position model. The record is from RNAcentral.